AACGGGUGAGUAAUACAUCGGAACAUGUCCUGUAGUGGGGGAUAGCCCGGCGAAAGCCGGAUUAGUACCGCAUACGAUCUACGGAUGAAAGCGGGGGACCUUCGGGCCUCGCGCUAUAGGGUUGGCCGAUGGCUGAUUAGCUAGUUGGUGGGGUAAAGGCCUACCAAGGCGACGAUCAGUAGCUGGUCUGAGAGGACGACCAGCCACACUGGGACUGAGACACGGCCCAGACUCCUACGGGAGGCAGCAGUGGGGAAUUUUGGACAAUGGGCGAAAGCCUAAUCCAGCAAUGCCGCGUGUGUGAAGAAGGCCUUCGGGUUGUAAAGCACUUUUGUCCGGAAAGAAAUCCUUGGUUCUAAUAUAGCCGGGGGAUGACGGUACCGGAAGAAUAAGCACCGGCUAACUACGUGCCAGCAGCCGCGGUAAUACGUAGGGUGCGAGCGUUAAUCGGAAUUACUGGGCGUAAAGCGUGCGCAGGCGGUUUGCUAAGACCGAUGUGAAAUCCCCGGGCUCAACCUGGGAACUGCAUUGGUGACUGGCAGGCUAGAGUAUGGCAGAGGGGGGUAGAAUUCCACGUGUAGCAGUGAAAUGCGUAGAGAUGUGGAGGAA
Molecule: ribosomal RNA, 609 nt
Filed under: uncultured beta proteobacterium
Lineage: Bacteria; Pseudomonadati; Pseudomonadota; Betaproteobacteria
Description: bacterial SSU rRNA
Rfam family: Bacterial small subunit ribosomal RNA
Source: RNAcentral